This 195-nucleotide unclassified non-coding RNA is filed under the name uncultured fungus. RNAcentral's name for it is "sequence contains ITS1". The record is from RNAcentral. Lineage: Eukaryota; Fungi.
UUAACGAUUGUAAUAGUACUCAGACGCGGCAGUAACAGCAGUAUAGUUGGGUCCCUGGCGGGCGCGCACCAGCGGGGGCCGGUGGCUACCAUAGCGGCCCGCCAAAGCAACACGGUAUAGUAAACAGUGGGUGGGAGGUCGGCCCCGGAGGGCACGAGCUCGGUAAUGAUCCUUCCGCAGGUUCACCUACGGAAA